UGACAAUGGCCGAGAACAUUGUGGAUAAAAAUGGCUUCAACAUAUGAACUGAUGCAGGAUGAAUCUACCCGGCUGUUUUCUUCAAAAAGGAAAGUGAAUGUCACCGUAUGUAGUUGCAGCCGUUCCAAAAACGUUGAAGGUCUUAUCAAGCUCAUCAGACAACACAUGAAUGGUAUUGUGAAAACUGUGAGAUUUGAGACCCUUCCGUAUAACGUCAGAGACAUGGACGAGUUUGAUCUGAGCGGUAUAGAUGUUCUGCUUCUCUGUCACUCCAUAGAAAACAGACGAUUCUCAAUAACCGAUGUCACAGAUGCUCUUUAUGAUGGAUUCCUACCGAGGGCCAGGAAGUAUUUGGGUAAGGAUUCGCUGUUAGGCCCUGAGAAGAAAAUAAACCGCCUUUUCGACCCUGAGAAUUAUUUGAAUGAAUCUAGUAGUAAAUUGUGUUUUUCAUAUCACAUUCCCAGAUCUCUAACAAGUGAAAAA
Long non-coding RNA from Strongylocentrotus purpuratus (purple sea urchin), 483 nucleotides. RefSeq lists it as uncharacterized. Lineage: Eukaryota; Metazoa; Echinodermata; Echinoidea; Camarodonta; Strongylocentrotidae. The transcript has 2 exons. The record is from RefSeq and is a predicted model, not a curated record.